This 91-nucleotide transfer RNA is filed under the name Auriscalpium vulgare. RNAcentral describes it as "tRNA-Gly". It matches the Rfam family "tRNA". From Rfam's summary of the family: Transfer RNA (tRNA) molecules are approximately 80 nucleotides in length. Their secondary structure includes four short double-helical elements and three loops (D, anti-codon, and T loops). Lineage: Eukaryota; Fungi; Basidiomycota; Agaricomycetes; Russulales; Auriscalpiaceae. The record is from RNAcentral.
ACACCGAUGGUGAAGCGGUUAUCAUGCUUGCCUUCCAAUGCUCACGUGCAUGAGGUAGCAAGCGGCACGGGUUCGACUCCCGUUCGGUGUA